Molecule: ribosomal RNA, 358 nt
Filed under: uncultured bacterium
Lineage: Bacteria
Description: bacterial SSU rRNA
Rfam family: Bacterial small subunit ribosomal RNA
Source: RNAcentral
CUGCCGGUGACAAACCGGAGGAAGGUGGGGAUGACGUCAAGUCCUCAUGGCCCUUAUAGGUGGGGCUACACACGUCAUACAAUGGCCGGUACAGAGGGUUGCCAACCCGCGAGGGGGAGCCAAUCCCCAUAAAGCCGGUCGUAGUCCGGAUUGGAGUCUGCAACUCGACUCCAUGAAGUCGGAAUCGCUAGUAAUCGCGGAUCAGAAUGUCGCGGUGAAUACGUUCCCGGGUCUUGUACACACCGCCCGUCACACCAUGGGAGCGGGUUCUGCCAGAAGUGGUUAGCCUAACCGCAAGGAGGGCGAUCACCACGGCAGGGUUCGUGACUGGGGUGAAGUCGUAACAAGGUAACCGUAA